UACGUAGGGGGGCUAGCGUUGUCCGGAAUCAUUGGGCGUAAAGCGCGUGUAGGCGGUCCGGUAAGUCCGCUGUGAAAGUCGGGGGCUCAACCCUCGGAUGCCGGUGGAUACUGUCGGGCUUGAGUACGGAAGAGGCGAGUGGAAUUCCUGGUGUAGCGGUGAAAUGCGCAGAUAUCAGGAGGAACACCAAUUGCGAAGGCAGCUCGCUGGGACGUUACUGACGCUGAGACGCGAAAGCGUGGGGGAGCAAACAGG
Molecule: ribosomal RNA, 255 nt
Filed under: uncultured bacterium
Lineage: Bacteria
Description: partial 16S ribosomal RNA
Rfam family: Bacterial small subunit ribosomal RNA
Source: RNAcentral